AUUGAACGCUGGCGGAAUGCUUUACACAUGCAAGUCGAGCGGCAGCGCGGCCUUCGGGCUGGCGGCGAGCGGCGAACGGGUGAGUAAUGCAUCGGAACAUGCCCAGUCGUGGGGGAUAACACUUCGAAAGAAGUGCUAAUACCGCAUACGUCCUGAGGGGGAAAGCGGGGGAUCGCAAGACCUCGCGCGAUUGGAGUGGCCGAUGUCAGAUUAGCUAGUUGGUGGGGUAAAGGCCUACCAAGGCGACGAUCUGUAGCUGGUCUGAGAGGAUGAUCAGCCACACUGGGACUGAGACACGGCCCAGACUCCUACGGGAGGCAGCAGUGGGGAAUUUUGGACAAUGGGGGCAACCCUGAUCCAGCCAUACCGCGUGAGUGAAGAAGGCCUUCGGGUUGUAAAGCUCUUUCGGCAGGAACGAAACGGUGGGCUCUAACAUAGUCCGCUAAUGACGGUACCUGAAGAAGAAGCACCGGCUAACUACGUG
This 484-nucleotide ribosomal RNA is filed under the name uncultured bacterium. RNAcentral describes it as "partial 16S ribosomal RNA". It matches the Rfam family "Bacterial small subunit ribosomal RNA", at positions 29 to 507 of the family's 1533-position model. The record is from RNAcentral.